GAUGAACGCUGGCGGCGUGCCUAAUACAUGCAAGUCGAGCGAACAGACGAGGAGCUUGCUCCUCUGACGUUAGCGGCGGACGGGUGAGUAACACGUGGAUAACCUACCUAUAAGACUGGGAUAACUUCGGGAAACCGGAGCUAAUACCGGAUAAUAUAUUGAACCGCAUGGUUCAAUAGUGAAAGACGGUUUUGCUGUCACUUAUAGAUGGAUCCGCGCCGCAUUAGCUAGUUGGUAAGGUAACGGCUUACCAAGGCGACGAUGCGUAGCCGACCUGAGAGGGUGAUCGGCCACACUGGAACUGAGACACGGUCCAGACUCCUACGGGAGGCAGCAGUAGGGAAUCUUCCGCAAUGGGCGAAAGCCUGACGGAGCAACGCCGCGUGAGUGAUGAAGGUCUUCGGUUCGUAAAACUCUGUUAUUAGGGAAGAACAAAUGUGUAAGUAACUAUGCACGUCUUGACGGUACCUAAUCAGAAAGCCACGGCUAACUACGUG
Molecule: ribosomal RNA, 497 nt
Filed under: uncultured bacterium
Lineage: Bacteria
Description: partial 16S ribosomal RNA
Rfam family: Bacterial small subunit ribosomal RNA
Source: RNAcentral